This 334-nucleotide unclassified non-coding RNA is filed under the name soil metagenome. Its description in RNAcentral is "partial contains 5.8S ribosomal RNA, internal transcribed spacer 2, and large subunit ribosomal RNA". The stretch from base 1 to 120 matches the Rfam family "5.8S ribosomal RNA", at positions 35 to 154 of the family's 154-position model. The record is from RNAcentral.
GAUGAAGAACGCAGCGAAAUGCGAUAAGUAAUGUGAAUUGCAGAAUUCAGUGAAUCAUCGAAUCUUUGAACGCACAUUGCGCCCCCCAGUAUUCUGGCGGGUAUGCCUGUUCGAGCGUCAUUUCAACCAUCAAGCCCUGCUUGUGUUGGGGUCCUGCGGCUGCCCGCAGGCCCUGAAAACCAGUGGCGGGCUCGCUAGUCACACCGAGCGCAGUAGCACAUCUCGCUCAGGGCGUGCGGCGGGCUCCAGCCGUUAAAGCACCCACCUUUCGCAAGGUUGACCUCGGAUCAGGUAGGAAUACCCGCUGAACUUAAGCAUAUCAAUAAGCGGAGGA